RNAcentral lists this non-coding RNA (32 nucleotides) under Rattus norvegicus (Norway rat). Lineage: Eukaryota; Metazoa; Chordata; Mammalia; Rodentia; Muridae. The record is from RNAcentral.
UUCCCAGGUUGCUUGACACACAGUCUGAUGGU